AGUGAACGCUGGCGGUAGGCCUAACACAUGCAAGUCGAACGGCAGCACAGUAAGAGCUUGCUCUUACGGGUGGCGAGUGGCGGACGGGUGAGGAAUACAUCGGAAUCUACUUUUUCGUUGGGGAUAACGUAGGGAAACUUACGCUAAUACCGCAUACGACCUACGGGUGAAAGCAGGGGAUCUUCGGACCUUGCGCGAUUGAAUGAGCCGAUGUCGGAUUAGCUAGUUGGCGGGGUAAAGGCCCACCAAGGCGACGAUCCGUAGCUGGUCUGAGAGGAUGAUCAGACACACGGGAACGGAGACACGGUCCAGACUCCUACGGGAGGCAGCAGUGGGGAAUAUUGGACAAGGGGCGCAAGCCUGAUCCAGCCAUACCGCGUGGGUGAAGAAGGCCUUCGGGUUGUAAAGCCCUUUUGUUGGGAAAGAAAAGCAGCAGGUUAAUACCCCGCUGUUCUGACGGUACACAAAGAAUAAGCACCGGCUAACUUCGUG
RNAcentral lists this ribosomal RNA (492 nucleotides) under uncultured bacterium. RNAcentral's name for it is "partial 16S ribosomal RNA". It matches the Rfam family "Bacterial small subunit ribosomal RNA", at positions 29 to 507 of the family's 1533-position model. The record is from RNAcentral.